Long non-coding RNA from Leopardus geoffroyi (Geoffroy's cat), 4205 nucleotides. RefSeq lists it as uncharacterized. The transcript is spliced from 2 exons. NCBI's taxonomy places the organism in Eukaryota, Metazoa, Chordata, Mammalia, Carnivora, Felidae. The record is from RefSeq and is a predicted model, not a curated record.
GGAAAAGAAGGAACAAAAAGUAUGGUGUAGAGGUAAGGAGAUUCUAAAAUAUGUGGAUGCCUGGGGCUUCCCCUCUGAGUCCUGUUACUCCUGGGGUCUUUGAAAGUCCAUCUGGGGACUCUGAGAAAUCCCCAGGGUCUAGGUCCUGCCCCAGAGAUUCUGACUGAGCCCGUUGUGAAAAGUUCCCCAGGUGGUGCAGUUAGGACCUGAGAACCCUGGGAGCCUCUCUGUUUCCCGGCUGACCCACCCUGUUUAUGGACGCAGCAUCCUUCCUCCUGGGUUCCAAUUCAAGCUCUGCCGGCUCGGCAGGUUAUUUGACUCAUCUGUACUUUCAUGCACUUGUCCAUCAAACAGAGGAGGUGGGGAUUGCCUCUCUCAUCGGAUUCUCGUGAGAACUAGCUAAGUCUCCCCAGCACACGGUGAGCGUGCGGUAACCACUGUUGGCCAUGUUAGCCAUAACCAUUUGGAAUGGCACAGAAGACCGGAGGGAAUGUUCCCCGACAAGGAGCCAGAGGAGGGAAUGUUCAGGGCCAGUCUUGCUGAGGGAGGGGAAGUUCACUUCUGGGGGAGCCGGGAGAACCACCAGCUGGGUGAGUGAGAGAACAUUUAGGGGACACACAUCCUUCUGAGGAGUCGAUGGAAGUUUCGGUCAUCUAGAAAAAUGUACCUAUGUACACGCACGACUUUUGUCUACAAAUCUGGGGACUCGCAGACCCUCAAAGCCCACCUGCAGCUCCCAGGUUGAAAUCUGUUGUCAUCUCCAGGCUAAGUAACAGUGCCAUCAACUGCUGUAUUAUUUUGACAGUAUCAACCGAAACAUCAAAUACACAUAUUGUUUGAUCCAAUCAUUUCACUUUUUCGAGUCUGUUCUAUAAACAAUGCACAGGAACAAAAUGGUGAAAGUACGAAGUUGUUUAUUGGAGCCUUGCUGGUUAUGGAAAAGAUAAGAUACAUCUUAAAUGUGCAUCCAGAGAGGACCAAUCAAAGCAAUUAUGUUUGCACAGUGGAACACUCAGCAGCUUUCAAAAAGAGUGAAAAAAUCUUUGUAUGCCAAAGGGAACAAGUUCUAAGAACCGUAAAAGGCACAGACCAGCGUGCCCAGUGUGCUAUGAUUUUUGUAGAAAAAGAAGAAAAUGUAUGUGUGCGUGUAUGUACAUUUGUUUGCAGAUGCACAGAAUGUUUCUGGAACGAAACCCAAUAAACCAACCAGUGCCCCAGGCUCCCAGGAGAACUACUUGACAGGGUGUUGAAUGUUUAAACUAAUUAAAAAAAAAUUUAUAUUUACAAAGCAAGAAAGAAAACCCUGUGCCAGAUGAUGGAGGCUGGCUUCAAAGGUCAAGACUUUUGAAUGGGAGAGACAGGAGAAUCACCUGUUCUUUGGGGAGGAUGAAUCCGUCCACCCAAAUAGAGCAGGUGGGACCUGAGGCCCCUGAUGGGCAGAGCAGGUGAACUUCAUGCAUGGAGAGGUUCUGAAGACAGACACCGCCCUGGAGAUGACCCCAUGUGAAAGGCAAAGGAGGAGUCGAAAGGAUGCACGGUCUCAGAUUGCAUGGGCCGGGACUCCGGGAUGAGGCGGGAGGUGUGGGCUCGGGCGGGGCAGGUCAGGGGGUGAGAGCCAGGGAGGAGCACUGGGGCGAUACCCUGCUGGCAGGUUUUUCUGCAUAGCUGGGCAGUAGCUCAGUGUGGUGGGUCUCACCACCAGCACCGCAUUCCUUUGCUUACCACUUGUCUUAAUUUUCAUGAAGCACUGCCUCUCUUUCCCUUCCCUGGGACUUGGGGGAACGCGGGCUCCACCACAAAGCCUCAGAAACUUCAGGCCGGGAGGACAAGGCCCACAUGAAGACAGUGAGGCCCAGGAGGAUGAGAGCUGAGACAAGAAGGCACAGGGUAACGUCUUGCUUGGCCCCAGCUGGGAACAUGCACCUCAGACAACCCAAACAUUUUGCUGCUCUGUAUGGGCCCGCCAAUAACCACGAGAGUGCCGUGAGUAUUGUUCAGCAACUGCGAAUAAAUUGUCGCGACUACAUACGUUUGCGAAGAGAGAAUCCAGUAAUGACAAGUGACUGCACUUUUCAAUGCCACAAUUACACUCCAUCAGGCUGAAAAAUGUCACUUACUCAAUGAGGCCCCUGUGCCUGCACAUUGGAUGUCUCCGGCUUUUCCCGUUACAGACAAUGACACAGGAAAUAGCGUUACAGAGAUGGUUGCCUUCGUUUAACUUGUAUCCUUGAAUUUCCCAACUGGGCUUACUGGUAGGAGGCGUGGGCAGGGAGGGGUGAUUUUCCACCAUUCACUGGGCUCAUCGCAGGCCCAGGCUGGGACAUUUGUGUGACUGAGUCUGGCCCUUCCAGGGGGAAGACAUCAGGGGACUCCCGGGAAGGGGUUCUUCCUGCCUAAGGAGACCAAGAUGAGACCGUCUCCGUUCUUGCUCUGGCCGUUGCUGUGUCAGGUAUCAGGCCUGGAGCUAUGAAACGGAAGAGGACAGAGGUGGAGGGAAACGGUUUGGGCCCUGGCGAUGCAGCUAUACUGCGAAAGAAUCAGCCCAGAGGUACAGCUGGUCGAGACUUCCCAGAACGUGACAUGGUCCGUUCCCUUCGGCUCAAGCCAGUCUGAGCUGGCGACGGCCCUUGGCACGGCACUGCCGAGGACCAGCUGGGAUGCCUGGGACCCCACCCCCCUCUUAGAACACCCUGCUGGCUCCCCGUGACCCGCAGACCAAACUCGGGCCAUGGCCCUGCAAGCCCAGCCUGCCUGACUCCCCCCCCGCUCUGCGUCAGUCUCGCUGAGCCUCCGUCAGUGCCCCCAGCCCUGGGGCUUCCAAACGUGGGCUGAGAUUCAUGGUGAAAACCACUUAGUUCGUCGCCAACAACAUUAAAAAACUAAGUAGGCUGGACUAGCAAGCAGGAGUACAUUACCCAUGGGAAAGGGAAACAGUGUCCUGAAUCUGUUGUUUCAUUGCACACACACACACACUGCACAUGCACACCUGCACACACGUGUACCGGGCUGCCACGAAAGCAUCUCUCUUCUGUGGGCCCCAGUCGGUGUGGGGGAAACCUUUGUUCUGGAAUGCCUUCCUUCCUCUAGCCAAGGGCCUCUGCCUGUGCUGGUGUGCACCCCCUUCCACAGUCCUUUCCUCCACAGCACUGUCUGGGGCAGACACUCUUGACAUUGGGUCCACAGCACGGCUGCCAUAGCAGGAGCCCAUCGGGGACCUGAGGGCCACACUGGGGCCCAUAUGGGCCGCGUGAGCCUGGGAGAGGAAGGGAGUGGGAACGAAACUUGACAGGAGCCCUGGGUGGGACAGGUGGGAGGGGUCCUGGAGUGUCCCACAUCUGCAGUGACUAGAACUCAGUGUGGACGAGCCAGGGAAGACACAGCUGGGUGACGCUGGCCUCCUCUGGGCUGCCUCGGGGAGCCGGGCGCUCCUGGGCGGUCCUCACCCAGCUCGGACACCCCUGUGCCCACGUGGGUGCUGCCUACAGCCCAUGGGGCAGCUCCCGUGCCUGAGUCAGUGGCUGCCAGCCUGUGAAGCUUCUGAGCAAGAAUCAUUACCUCUUUCGGACAGCGGAGGGGGAGGAAACCGGUUCUGGGAGGCCAAGCGACUUUCCCAAAGUUACUCAUGGGAGCACGCCAGGCCUGGACUGGAAUCCAGGACCCGCACACAGCUAGCAUUGUAUGGAAGUUCUACGCUCCAUAAUUUAACCUAGGACACUUCCAAACACUGAGUCACUACAUCCUGAUUCACAGAGGGCGAGUUUUCUCUGUGGCUUUAAGGUUAGCAGGAAAUUGUGGCCCAGGCCCCUUGGCCUCCGGUGAGGGCCCAUGUCUUAUCCGGUCCACUCCAGGAACAAUAGUGCCGGCCAGAGCUCCAGCUACCACCGCUCCUGGCAGAACAAAUCAUAUAAGGAGGCCUUGGUACCCAUAAGGCAAAGGAGGGGCUGGCCGCUGGCUGGGGAAAGUCUGUGCCUACCUUGGGGUGUGUGCCUGGGAGGGGCAGGAUGCCGCCGCAGGGGGAGGGGCUGGUGAGUCAGCGGAGCCUCCUCCGCCUUCCUCCCCUCCCUCCUGGCUUCCUCCCCCAGGGCCACUGCACCCCCCACUGACCCAGCUUUUUAUUGACCGAGCAGUACAGAUUUUCAUAAAGUAGGGUAAUAAAACCAUUCUUACCCAUCCAAAGUCUAAAGAGCUUUUCCUUCUUGUCUCUU